AUUGAACGCUGGCGGCAUGCCAUACACAUGCAAGUCGAACGGCAGCACGGGUGCUUGCCCCUGGUGGCGAGUGGCGAACGGGUGAGUAAUACAUCGGAACAUGUCCUGUAGUGGGGGAUAGCCCGGCGAAAGCCGGAUUAAUACCGCAUACGAUCUACGGAUGAAAGCGGGGGACCUUCGGGCCUCGCGCUAUAGGGUUGGCCGAUGGCUGAUUAGCUAGUUGGUGGGGUAAAGGCCUACCAAGGCGACGAUCAGUAGCUGGUCUGAGAGGACGACCAGCCACACUGGGACUGAGACACGGCCCAGACUCCUACGGGAGGCAGCAGUGGGGAAUUUUGGACAAUGGGCGAAAGCCUGAUCCAGCAAUGCCGCGUGUGUGAAGAAGGCCUUCGGGUUGUAAAGCACUUUUGUCCGGAAAGAAAUCCUUGGCCCUAAUACGGUCGGGGGAUGACGGUACCGGAAGAAUAAGCACCGGCUAACUACGUG
RNAcentral lists this ribosomal RNA (486 nucleotides) under uncultured bacterium. Its description in RNAcentral is "partial 16S ribosomal RNA". It matches the Rfam family "Bacterial small subunit ribosomal RNA", at positions 30 to 507 of the family's 1533-position model. The record is from RNAcentral.